AUGCAACCAAUGGCGCCGUCGCCGUGGCUGCCGGAAUUUGACCCGACAGACACGGUCGCCGGCCGUGCCUUUGUUGAGCGCCUCACCACCGACGCCGCGGCGCUCCAGCGAGAGCUCCUAACAGAGAUCCUCAAGCGGAACGCCCACACCGAGUACCUCCGCCCCUUCCUCCUCCUCCCGGAUGGCGGCUUGCCACCGGACGGCGACCUCCGGGAGGCCUUCAAGAAGCUUGUGCCUGUCUCCGGCUACGACGACAUCAAGCCAUAUGUGCAUCGAAUCGCCUCAGGCCGAGAGCCGUCCACCAACCUCCUCUGCUCCGAGCCCAUCACCCACCUCCUCAGAAGCUCUUGCACGUCUGGUGGGAAGCAGAAGAUCUUCCCGUCCACCGCGGAGGAACUCGACCGGAAGCUCUUCUUCUAUGGCGUCCAGUCACUCGUGAGGAACAUGUACGUGCAUCUGCAUGCUGACCAGGAGGGCAAGCGCGGCAUGGGGAUGCGCCUCACCUUAACCUUCCCCGUCGAACACACGCCGUCCGGCCUUCACGUCCAGGCGGCCACCACCGCCUACUACCGCAGCAGCCAGUUCCGGGACCAGGAGGUGGGCGGGUUCGACCGGUGCACCAGCCCCAUGGAGGCCAUCCUCUGGCCGGACGCCGAGCAGAGCAUGUACUGCCAGCUGCUCUGCGGCCUGCUCCACCGCGACUCCGUGGACCACGUCGGCACCUCCUUCGCCAACAGCCUCGUGCGAGCCAUCAAGUUCCUGGAGCACAACUGGGAGGAGAUGUGCUCCGACAUCCGCACCGGCAGCCUCAGUGGCCGGAUAACGCACGCACCCCUGCGUGACGCCGUCAUCCAGCGAUACCUACGAGGGCCCAAUCCGGCACUGGCAGACGAGGUCGCGUCGGAGUGUGCUGCCAAGCCCUGGGACGGGAUUGUCGCCAGGCUAUGGCCGCGGGCACGGUGUGCCCUCACCAUUGUCACCGGCUCGAUGGCGCAGUACAUUCCGAUUCUCCGGAGCUACUGCGGUGGCCGGUUGCCGAUUGUCUCACCCUGUUAUGCGUCUACUGAGUGCGCCGCCGGAGUCAAUCUAAGGCCUCUCGACCCACCCAGCCGUGCGUCGUAUGCAUUGCUUCCCAACAUCGCCUACUUCGAGUUUGCCGAGAUCCAGCCUCGUGAUGAAGAAACUCCUACUGUUGAUGACAAUGGCAAUCCGGGUGAGAUGAAGUUUGUGGAUCUUGUGGAUGUCGAAAUUGGUCGGUCCUAUGAGCUGGUUGUCACCACCUUUGCAGGUCUUUACAGGUACCGAGUUGGUGACCUUCUCACCGUGACUGGCUUCUACAACGCAACGCCAUUGUUCCUCUUCUCGGGACGACAUGAUGUCAUCUUAAGCAUAGACCAUGAGAAGAUAAGCGAGGAGGAACUACUCAGGGCAAUUUCACAGGCUAUUGAGCUCCAUCUUGGCCCUCUUGGGUACAUGCUCAGUGGAAGCACCGCCUUUGCAGACAUAUCCAAGUUGCCAGGCCACUACGUCCUGUUCUGGGAGCUAACCAACGCAAGGAGUAAUGGCCUGGUUGGCGACAUCCCUGAUCAAACUGUCAUGGAGAAUUGUUGCUCGACAGUUGAAGAAUGCUUCGACCAAAUGUACUGCAAAAUCAGGCAGCGCGCGAACAUCACCGCGCUCGAGAUAAGGGUGCUUGAGCAGGGCGCGUACGACGCUCUGAUGGACUUCUUCGUGUCUAGAGGCGCAUCGGCGGGCCAGUAUAAGACUCCAACGGCUAUUCGGUCAAAAGAAGCGAUGAUGGUGUUGGAAGAGAGGGUGGUGGCAAGGUUCUUUAGCAAAGAAUUCCCCGUGGUUCUCUAUAUGAUGAUUACAUGA
This 1875-nucleotide ribosomal RNA is filed under the name Triticum aestivum (bread wheat). Its description in RNAcentral is "partial small subunit ribosomal RNA". Lineage: Eukaryota; Viridiplantae; Streptophyta; Magnoliopsida; Poales; Poaceae. The record is from RNAcentral.